GAUGAACGCUGGCGGCGUGCCUAAUACAUGCAAGUCGAGCGAACAGACGAGGAGCUUGCUCCUCUGACGUUAGCGGCGGACGGGUGAGUAACACGUGGAUAACCUACCUAUAAGACUGGGAUAACUUCGGGAAACCGGAGCUAAUACCGGAUAAUAUAUUGAACCGCAUGGUUCAAUAGUGAAAGACGGUUUUGCUGUCACUUAUAGAUGGAUCCGCGCCGCAUUAGCUAGUUGGUAAGGUAACGGCUUACCAAGGCGACGAUGCGUAGCCGACGUGAGAGGGUGAUCGGCCACACUGGAACUGAGACACGGUCCAGACUCAUACGGGAGGCAGCAGUAGGGAAUCUUCCGCAAUGGGCGAAAGCCUGACGGAGCAACGCCGCGUGAGUGAUGAAGGUCUUCGGAUCGUAAAACUCUGUUAUUAGGGAAGAACAAAUGUGUAAGUAACUAUGCACGUCUUGACGGUACCUAAUCAGAAAGCCACGGCUAACUACGUG
RNAcentral lists this ribosomal RNA (497 nucleotides) under uncultured bacterium. Its description in RNAcentral is "partial 16S ribosomal RNA". It matches the Rfam family "Bacterial small subunit ribosomal RNA", at positions 28 to 507 of the family's 1533-position model. The record is from RNAcentral.